GGGUAGAGUAAUGCGUGACCAACCUGCCCCAUGCUCCAGAAUAGCUCUUGGAAACGGGUGGUAAUGCUGGAUGCUCCAACUUGACGCAUGUCUUGUUGGGAAAGUGUUUAGUGGCAUGGGAUGGGGUCGCGUCCUAUCAGCUUGUAGGCGGGGUAAUGGCCCACCUAGGCUUCGACGGGUAGCCGGCCUGAGAGGGCGGACGGCCACAUUGGGACUGAGAUACGGCCCAGACUCCUACCGGGAGGCAGCAGCU
This 253-nucleotide ribosomal RNA is filed under the name uncultured Gardnerella sp. RNAcentral's name for it is "partial 16S ribosomal RNA". It matches the Rfam family "Bacterial small subunit ribosomal RNA", at positions 100 to 355 of the family's 1533-position model. Lineage: Bacteria; Bacillati; Actinomycetota; Actinomycetes; Bifidobacteriales; Bifidobacteriaceae. The record is from RNAcentral.